GAUGAACGCUGGCGGCGUGCCUAAUACACGCAAGUCGAGCGAACGGACGAGAAGCUUGCUUCUCUGAUGUUAGCGGCGGACGGGUGAGUAACACGUGGAUAACCUACCUAUAAGACUGGGAUAACUUCGGGAAACCGGAGCUAAUACCGGAUGAUAUUUUGAACCGCAUGGUUCAAAAGUGAAAGACGGUCUUGCUGUCACUUAUAGAUGGAUCCGCGCUGCAUUAGCUAGUUGGUAAGGUAACGGCUUACCAAGGCAACGAUGCAUAGCCGACCUGAGAGGGUGAUCGGCCACACUGGAACUGAGACACGGUCCAGACUCCUACGGGAGGCAGCAGUAGGGAAUCUUCCGCAAUGGGCGAAAGCCUGACGGAGCAACGCCGCGUGAGUGAUGAAGGUCUUCGGAUCGUAAAACUCUGUUAUUAGGGAAGAACAUAUGUGUAAGUAACUGUGCACAUCUUGACGGUACCUAAUCAGAAGGCCACGGCUAACUACGUG
RNAcentral lists this ribosomal RNA (497 nucleotides) under uncultured bacterium. Its description in RNAcentral is "partial 16S ribosomal RNA". It matches the Rfam family "Bacterial small subunit ribosomal RNA", at positions 28 to 507 of the family's 1533-position model. The record is from RNAcentral.